Molecule: ribosomal RNA, 253 nt
Filed under: uncultured bacterium
Lineage: Bacteria
Description: partial 16S ribosomal RNA
Rfam family: Bacterial small subunit ribosomal RNA
Source: RNAcentral
UACGUAGGGGGCAAGCGUUGUCCGGAAUCAUUGGGCGUAAAGAGCGUGUAGGCGGUCCGGUAAGUCGGCUGUGAAAGUCCAAGGCUCAACCUUGGGAUGCCGGUCGAUACUGCCGGACUAGAGUUCGGAAGAGGCGAGUGGAAUUCCUGGUGUAGCGGUGAAAUGCGCAGAUAUCAGGAGGAACACCAAUUGCGAAGGCAGCUCGCUGGGACGUUACUGACGCUGAGACGCGAAAGCGUGGGGAGCAAACAGG